GACGAACGCUGGCGGCGUGCCUAAUACAUGCAAGUUGAGCGCUGAAGGUUGGUACUUGUACCGACUGGAUGAGCAGCGAACGGGUGAGUAACGCGUGGGGAAUCUGCCUUUGAGCGGGGGACAACAUUUGGAAACGAAUGCUAAUACCGCAUAAAAACUUUAAACACAAGUUUUAAGUUUGAAAGAUGCAAUUGCAUCACUCAAAGAUGAUCCCGCGUUGUAUUAGCUAGUUGGUGAGGUAAAGGCUCACCAAGGCGAUGAUACAUAGCCGACCUGAGAGGGUGAUCGGCCACAUUGAGACUGAGACACGGCCCAAACUCCUACGGGAGGCAGCAGUAGGGAAUCUUCAGCAAUGGACGAAAGUCUGACCGAGCAACGCCGCGUGAGUGAAGAAGGUUUUCGGAUCGUAAAACUCUGUUGGUAGAGAAGAACGUUGGUGAGAGUGGAAAGCUCAUCAAGUGACGGUAACUACCCAGAAAGGGACGGCUAACUACGUG
Molecule: ribosomal RNA, 497 nt
Filed under: uncultured bacterium
Lineage: Bacteria
Description: partial 16S ribosomal RNA
Rfam family: Bacterial small subunit ribosomal RNA
Source: RNAcentral